CGAGCCUAGCCCAAGGCAGGUGAGGCCACUGCCUUGGGCCUCAAAUUGUAGGGGGCCUCAUCUGUUAAGAAAAAAAAUUUGGCACAAGAAAACGAACUGCCUUUCUCCAUAAGUUCUUUUUUUCCCAUUUUAAUCUUCUUCGUCCUCUCUUCUCCACCACAAGGUAAGGUAAAAUUAAUCCCUAAAUUAAAACUACCAUCUACCGGCAGUGAGGGAUGACAAAUCAGUCCGACUACAAAAAUUUCGACGACAUUGGCAGACGGCACAAUAGGUUGAGCCUCUUUUUCACUUUUAUUAUUUGAAUUUGUAGGUUUCCAAUCCCGAUCAGAGAUUUCGACCUUGCUUGCUUACAGUGUAUGCCCUAGCCCAAGGCAAGUGAGGCCAGUGCCUUGGGCUUCAAAUUGUAGGGGGCCUCAUCUGUUAAGAAAAAAAUGGCAAAAGAAAACGAACCGCCUUUCUCCAUAAAUUCUUUUUUUCCCGUUUUAAUCUUCUUCGUCUUCUCUUCUCCACCACAAGGUAAGGUAGAAUUAAUCCCUAAAUUAAAACUACCAUCUAUCAGCAGUGAGGGGUGACAAUUCAGUCCGACUGCAAAAAUUUCGACGACAUCGACAGAUGGCACAAUAGGUUGAGCCUCUUUUUCACUUUUAUUAUUUGAAUUUGUAGGUUUCCAGUCCCGAUCAAAGAUUCCAACCUUGCUUGCUUAGUUGCUUUCAAUGCUUUGCCUUUGACUCUUUGAGUAAUGAUUUCUGAUUUCUCAUUUUUGGUUUCAUAAUUAGUUGCGCUGUUCCAUACUUCACCAUGGCAUUGAAUAGAUUAAACUUAUUAAAGCUAAUUUCAAGUUUUUGUGAAUCAAUAAAUGGGAUUGGAAGUUUUCUAAUUUGGGUUUGUCAGUAACUUAUUAAUGUUUUGGAAAUGGGAUUCUAAUUUUGGUGAUAUGUUGAUUCUAUUGCCAUUGAUUCACACAGAAAGCAUUUACUGAUUUACAAGUGAUUGGGACAAGGAUUUGAAAAGCUUAUGAGCAAUUUGUGAUUUUGAUUCUUUGCAACAGCCAACAGGUACUUUCCCUCAGGUCCCUGAAUAGCACUCAAAACAUAAUUCAAUAAAUGAUCCCUUGAAAAAAUUACAGCAGCAUUUCCGUUAUGCCCAUCGAAAAUCUGAAAUUUGGUACAUAAAUUACGAUAAUAUCAGGCAUGAAAAAUCAUUCUGAAAAUUGAAUUCUACAAGACUGAAUUAUGAAACAACUUACCACUAGAAUUUAUGGCUAAACCAAAUAAUUUACUUUUAGCCUAAAGUUAAAAACCUCCCAGUUUAGUUGCCUUAUAAUUUUAUACAAACAACGCUUUUGGUUUAAGUUGCUUAUCAUGCCAAACAUCAUAUUCAUAAUAACUUUUAAGCAUUCCCAAAACAUGCUCAAGGUAGACUACAGAUAGACGGAAAAGUACUUUCUAAAAUUCAGUGUGGGUUGCCUCUCCAUAGAUACAUGUCUGUGAUUCUAUCUCUAUGUGUGGACUGGAUAAUCUUCAACAUAUGUAUGUAUGGUUGAAGAUUUUAGUGUUAAUGGGCAUUUUUCAAUAAUGAAUUGAUAGAAUUGCUCUUGAAAAUGAUGUGGUAUUUUGCUUUAAUUUUCUAUUGCAAAUACAAGUGAUUGAAGAGAAGUAAUGAUUAUGAAAGUGAUUAAGUGAAAGUACAUCUUAUUAGUUAUUUAGUUCAUUUUCUUAUCAUCUUAUGUCUUUUUUUUCUUUGAAUUUAAUUUGGAUAAAAUUGCUCUAAUUAUGUUCCAUAUUUUUUGAAUAAAAGUGCUCUAAUUAUGUUCCAUAUCAUCUUCCAGUCGCAUUGUCUACUUCAAUCACCACCGCGACCACCAAUUUCUAAAUCCUUUCAUUUUGGGACUCAUCAAUCAAGUUUUAUCGCUCUUUACUUGUUAUUAUGUCUACGAGAAAAUUUGAAUCUGGAUGUGCCAAAAGAAAAAGGAAGGAAAAGAUUGAAAAGUUGAUUAAAUCUCAAGAGGAAGCACUUGAUAAGUUUUUUAGUAGUAGUAAACGAACACACAACGAUGACAUAGCUACUGAAGAAGUAUUAAAUGAGAAUGACAACAAUACUUAUACAAUUGAAGAAGGACAUUGUGUGAUGAAUGAAGACUUAUCUGCUGACAAAGACAAUGAACAAUUUUCUCUUGACCUUGUUGAUCCAGCAAAUUGGGGAAAUAUGAAUACGAAUUUAAGAUAUUUAAUUGUAAUGAAAGGUCCUGUAAGAGAAAAUAAUAUGAUUUUUCCGAAAGAUGGAGCAAAUCAACACUUCUCAUCCACACAUUAUGUUCAACGAUUACCUAAUGGAGAGAAGCAUGAUAGAAAAUGGUUAAUAUAUUCAAAAAGUUUGGAUAAAGUAUUUUGUUUUUGUUGUAAGCUAUUCAAGAAUGAUGGGAUCAGAACCCAAUUGGCACAUGAUGGAGUAAAUGAUUGGAAAAAUAUUGGUGAAAAACUUAAAAUGCAUGAAGGAAGUUGGUCGUGAGUAAAUGGAUAGAAAUGGAAUUAAGAUUUGAAAAGAGUAAAACAAUUGACGAAAGUGUGCAAGAACAAAUCAAUAGAGAUGGAGAACUUUGGAGACAAGAAUAAUAUCUGUAGUGAAAACCCUUGCUGAGAAUAAUUUAGCAUUCGUGGGGAUAAUGAGAAGAUAUAUCAGAAAAUAAUGAUAUCUUUUUAAGCAUGAUUCAAAUGAUUGUUGAAUUCGACCCCGUAAUGCAAGAGCAUAUUCGUCGAAUAAAAAAUAAAGAGAUUCAUUAUCAUUAUCUAGGACACAAAAUUCAGAAUGAGUUGAUACUUAUGCUAGCGGGCGAAAUAAAAAAAAAUAAUCAUUGAGAAACUCAAAAUUUCUAAAUAAUUUUCUGUUAUACUCGAUUGCACUCGAGAUACAAGUCACAAAGAAAAAAUGUUAAUGAUAUUGAGGUGUGAAGUUAUUUCGACAAGUCCAGUGAAGGUUGAAGAAUUCUUUUUAGGGUUUUUAUUAGUGGAUGAUACAUCAGGUAAGGGAUUUUUUGAGGAAUUGGUGGAUGCUUUGAAUAAUUUAAGAACUUGAUAUUGAUAAUGUAAGGGGUCAAGACUAUGAUAAUGGUGCUAACAUAAAAGGACAACAUAAAGUAGUUCAAAGUAGACUAUUACAACUAAAUCUUAGAGCAUUCUACAUUCCUUGUGGAUGUCAUAAUCUUAAUCUUGCACUUUAUGAUAUGGCCACUUGUUGUUCAAAAGCUAAAUCUUUCUUUGGGGUGGUGCAACAUAUUUAUACUUUUUUUUCUUCAUCUACUAAACAAUGGAAAGUUUUCAAAGAGAAUGUAACUGGUCUUACCCUUAAGCCCUUGUCACAAACUCGUUGGGAAAGCCAUAUUGAAAGUAUUAAAGCGAUAAGAUUUCAAGCUCCG
This 3412-nucleotide long non-coding RNA is filed under the name Olea europaea subsp. europaea. The record is from RNAcentral. Lineage: Eukaryota; Viridiplantae; Streptophyta; Magnoliopsida; Lamiales; Oleaceae.